RNAcentral lists this ribosomal RNA (490 nucleotides) under uncultured bacterium. Its description in RNAcentral is "partial 16S ribosomal RNA". It matches the Rfam family "Bacterial small subunit ribosomal RNA", at positions 30 to 507 of the family's 1533-position model. The record is from RNAcentral.
AUUGAACGCUGGCGGCAGGCCUAACACAUGCAAGUCGAAUGGUAACAGGAAACAGCUUGCUGUUUCGCUGACGAGUGGCGGACGGGUGAGUAAUGUCUGUGAAACUGCCUGAUGGAGGGGGAUAACUACUGGAAACGGUAGCUAAUACCGCAUAACGUCGCAAGACCAAAGAGGGGGACCUUCGGGCCUCUUGCCAUCAGAUGUGCCCAGAUGGGAUUAGCUAGUAGGUGGGGUAACGGCUCACCUAGGCGACGAUCCCUAGCUGGUCUGAGAGGAUGACCAGCCACACUGGAACUGAGACACGGUCCAGACUCCUACGGGAGGCAGCAGUGGGGAAUAUUGCACAAUGGGCGCAAGCCUGAUGCAGCCAUGCCGCGUGUAUGAAGAAGGCCUUCGGGUUGUAAAGUACUUUCAGCGGGGAGGAAGGGAGUAAAGUUAAUACCUUUGCCCAUUGACGUUACCCGCAGAAGAAGCACCGGCUAACUCCGCG